Molecule: long non-coding RNA, 545 nt
Organism: Triticum dicoccoides
Lineage: Eukaryota; Viridiplantae; Streptophyta; Magnoliopsida; Poales; Poaceae
Exons: 2
Source: RefSeq, a predicted model, not a curated record
GAAAAGGAAAAGAAUGAUAAGCCCAAAAGGGCUCAAAAAGGUAACAAAAAUAGGUGCAAGUUGUGUGAGGUACUUGGGCACAGAAUUGGUUCAUCCAAGUGCAUCUACACUCCUCAGAGGCCAAAGAGGAAGCGUGCAGAAAAAGCCCCACCGCUUGUUGUUGAACAAUGCUGGCCAGUGAAAAAAGCAAGACUCAGUGGCUAUAGAAGGAAGAGCACUAAGCAGAUAAUGUUUGGUGACAAAGAUAUGGAGCUAACUGAAACUGUUACUGCUGAACAUGAGAUAAGUGUUUGUGUUUUGGACGAUGUGAUGCAUACUGAAUCUGUUUUGCAGACGCUAGGGCAAUCUGAAACUGUUGCAGAUGAAGCAACUGUUGUGCUGCCAUUCGAAUCUGCUUUGACAACUGUGUUGCCAUGUUUGGAGGUUGUGCUGCCAAGUGUUGAGUUGCAAACUGAAGUAGUUGAACAAUGUGUGCCAUCUACUCAAUCUGCAGAAGUGCAAACUGAAGAAGUGAGACAUGGUCAGGUGCAAAAGUUGAGGGGGCC